UACGGGGGGGGCAAGCGUUGUUCGGAAUUACUGGGCGUAAAGGGCGCGUAGGCGGCCCGGCAAGUCCCUUGUGAAAUCCCACAGCUCAACUGUGGAAUUGCGUGGGAUACUGCCAGGCUUGAGUCCGGGAGAGGAGAGUGGAAUUCCCAGUGUAGCGGUGAAAUGCGUAGAUAUUGGGAGGAACACCGGUGGCGAAGGCGGCUCUCUGGACCGGUACUGACGCUGAGGCGCGAAAGCUAGGGGAGCAAACGGG
This 253-nucleotide ribosomal RNA is filed under the name uncultured bacterium. RNAcentral's name for it is "partial 16S ribosomal RNA". It matches the Rfam family "Bacterial small subunit ribosomal RNA", at positions 524 to 776 of the family's 1533-position model. The record is from RNAcentral.